This 661-nucleotide long non-coding RNA is filed under the name Olea europaea (common olive). Its description in RNAcentral is "long non-coding RNA (OEUR_LNC014721)". Lineage: Eukaryota; Viridiplantae; Streptophyta; Magnoliopsida; Lamiales; Oleaceae. The record is from RNAcentral.
UCUAGUUGCCUGAAUUGCUAACGAUUGGGCCUCUGAUUUGCCUGUGUCAAAUGUCUCCAGCUCCUGAACUCACGGUCAUUGCAUAUUCUAAAUUGUUGGCUUCACUGAAAUUGGACAGAUGCUGAAAUAGAAACAUCUGUGUAACUGAAUGGGUUGCUUGGUAGUAGAGACAGUAAACUGCUUGAUCAAUGAAGUUGGUGGAAGAUAGAAACGCUGGGGAUAGAGGCGUCUGAGUGGGUGGGUGUCGGUGAUAGAAAUCUGUAGAAUGUGUUGAAGAAGGCGGCAAAUUGGAUUAUGUAUAUGGUUGACUGUGCUGAUUUGAAGUGGAUGUCUGGGUACAAUAGAUAAUGAAGUGGUAGCGUGAUGGUGAUUAGAGGCGAUGGCAGCAAGAGAGUGGUUGUGAGAGAGGAAUCGGAUGGAACUGUGGGAUAUUUGAUGUUAAUGGAUUGGUUAUAAUCGGGUUUGGUCGGAUAUUUGGGACUGGGUCAGAUGGGAAGGGGUUUGGAUCCUGUUAUAGAGAUGGGCCAGCUGGGGUUCGUGUUUGGAGAGUGGGCCUGGGUCGUGAAGAGUAGGCUGGGUUAGUUGGGCUAAAUGGGCUUGAAUGCUAGGGUUUGAGAUUUGUAGAACAACACCACAAUUUUUUUAUGAGCAGCAGAAAAAA